UACGUAGGGGUCGAGCGUUGUCCGGAGUUACUGGGCGUAAAGCGUGCGCAGGCGGCUCAUCGCGCUCGGCGUGAAAGCCCCCGGCCCAACCGGGGAGGGUCGUCGAGGACGGGUGAGCUUGAGGGUAUCAGGGGUUGGUGGAAUUCCCGGUGUAGUGGUGAAAUGCGUAGAGAUCGGGAGGAACACCCGUGGCGAAGGCGGCCAACUGGGAUACACCUGACGCUGAGGCACGAAGGCGUGGGGAGCGAACGGG
This 253-nucleotide ribosomal RNA is filed under the name uncultured bacterium. RNAcentral's name for it is "partial 16S ribosomal RNA". It matches the Rfam family "Bacterial small subunit ribosomal RNA", at positions 524 to 776 of the family's 1533-position model. The record is from RNAcentral.